CCACUUGAAACUCUUUCCUCCACGUGCCUUGUAUGAUGACGAAUUUGCUGCUCACCAUGCAACAACACAUCAUUUUUGCCAUGCUGAAAAUAGCAAUCAUCAUAGCCCUCAUCUUCUUCCACUUGACUUGGAAGUUCAACCACUAUUGCUACAGUCGGUGUUGGCUCAGUAUUAAUCCCUAUUUGGCCAUUUCAGUAUUAAUCUCCAUUUGACCAUCUUCUUGCCACGUUUGUCAGGUGUCAAUUCCACGUACCCCGCAUGAGUGUUUGCAUGUUGUUGCAAUCGGUGUAGUCGGUGCUCACUGCUGCUGGCCACGUUUGUUUGCUGGUUGUCGGUGAUCGCAGCUGCCACUCACAGUUACUGACUCAUCAUGGCUUGCAUGAUCAUGAGUAUGUUUCUCAUUGAGCAACAGCACAUUAUCGGUGCUUUGGUGUAACAGACCAUCAUCAUUACACAUACUUAAUUUCUUAUAAUUGAUCUGUAAUUUCAACCAAGGCUGCUGCAAUCGGUGAAUGUUCAGCAUCAUUCCCCAUUUAAUCAUCUUCUUCAAAUAUAAGAUUGUCAUUGUCCAUCUCUAACUCCAUAAACAACUUGGUAGAUUAGUCUUACAAAUCGUACUCCUUACUAUGUCCAUUAGGGUUCUCCUUCUUUUCUUAGCCACUUCGUUUUGCUCGAGAUUUCUAGUGUGGUGUAUUGAGCUACAAUUCCAUUUUCUUGUAGAAAAAAAAAAAAGGGCAAAUGGACUAAGAUGUCUGCCAGUUUGAGUGUAUCUACCAUUGUAUUCACCUCUCCUAUCAGACCUAACCUCCUUAAAUUUUUUUUUUUUUUUUUUUUUUUUUUUUUCUUCCAAUUGGUUUUCGAUGUCAAUUUUGAAAUCUUAAAGUUUCAAGUGCAUUUGAUUAUUUUGAAUUAGAUAGAU
Molecule: long non-coding RNA, 919 nt
Filed under: Malus domestica (apple)
Lineage: Eukaryota; Viridiplantae; Streptophyta; Magnoliopsida; Rosales; Rosaceae
Description: long non-coding RNA (MDOM_LNC001337)
Source: RNAcentral